This 253-nucleotide ribosomal RNA is filed under the name uncultured bacterium. RNAcentral's name for it is "partial 16S ribosomal RNA". It matches the Rfam family "Bacterial small subunit ribosomal RNA", at positions 524 to 776 of the family's 1533-position model. The record is from RNAcentral.
GACAGAGGGUGCAAACGUUGUUCGGAAUUACUGGGCGUAAAGCGCGUGUAGGCGGCUCUGCAAGUCAGGUGUGAAAUCCCACGGCUCAACCAUGGAAGUGCACUUGAAACUGCAGGGCUAGAGUCCUGGAGAGGAAGGUGGAAUGCUUGGUGUAGAGGUGAAAUUCGUAGAUAUCGUAAGGAAGACCAGUGGCGAAGGCGAAUCUCUGGACAGUUACUGACACUGAGGCACGAAGGCCAGGGGAGCAAACGGG